Molecule: ribosomal RNA, 382 nt
Filed under: uncultured eukaryote
Lineage: Eukaryota
Description: partial 18S ribosomal RNA
Rfam family: Eukaryotic small subunit ribosomal RNA
Source: RNAcentral
UGUAAGCGUAUACCAAAGUUGUUGCAGUUAAAACGCUCGUAGUCGGAAUUUGGCAGUUCCGGAUGUGUGCACGUCGUGUGCGCACUUCGCGGGGAUUGCUUUUGUGGUCUUGCGUAGGAUGAGGCACUUUUAUUAGUGAACGUCCUCACGCAACCACUUUUUACUGUGAGAAAAUCAGAGUGCUCAAAGCAGGCAUUUGCCGUGAAUGUAUUAGCAUGGAAUAAUAGAAUAGGACUUGGUUCUAUUUUGUUGGUUUGUUGGGACUGAGCAAUGAUUAAGAGGGACAGUUGGGGGCAUUUGUAUUUCGGUGCUAGAGGUGAAAUUCUUAGAUUACCGAAAGACAAACUGCUGCGAAAGCGUCUGCCAAGGAUGUUUUCAUUGA